Molecule: long non-coding RNA, 768 nt
Filed under: Phaseolus vulgaris (common bean)
Lineage: Eukaryota; Viridiplantae; Streptophyta; Magnoliopsida; Fabales; Fabaceae
Description: long non-coding RNA (PVUL_LNC001471)
Source: RNAcentral
UACUGAGCCUUUGGCUGGCCAGACCUUCAACUGGAGGAACGGUUCAGGAGAAGAACAACAACGUGACAAGGAGGAUGAGAAAAACUACUCGGACUUCUCUUUCCAAACUCAAAUUCAAUCUUCCUCAGGCAUGUUUCAAGUGGUGAGCACUGUUGUUUUUUGUCACCAUUUGACUUAAACAAGUAUUAUUUUCUGCGUGUCUUUCUGGUUAAUCUUUGAUCAUCAAAGACACUUGGAGGCCGGUUCUUAUUCUCUUUUCUGUUAUUUACAUAUUUGGACUUGUUUCUAAUGUUGUUUCUUCAGAAGUUUUCUUUGUCUUGGAUUGCUUUGUGGGGUCAUUUUAUUGUUUUUAAUGGCCCGUUGUAUUAUUUUGUUCUUCUUUGUUAAUCUUAUUUUUCUAUUUUAUUUUUGUUGGCAUAAACACGGUUUGAAUGCUUAAAACAAAACUUGCAUAGCAUAUUCUAAGUUGAAAAAGUCUAAGCUAAAAGUAUGUCAAUGCAUGUCUCUAUGUUUCGAGAAAUCCAUUAGCUGCAUAAUCACAGUAAACAAGGUUUGAUUUAUUGAUGGCUUGAAACAUGUUAUUCUUGUCGUGUAUUUGGAUCUGUAUUCUAACUACUUGUUUUACUUGAACAGCAGGAACCACUUAAGAAACAAGAUAUAUGGAAAUUCAAUGAACCUUCAAAGCGAACUGAUUUUUCAUCUGAUAGGACAGCAACAAAAUCUGAAUACCCUUCAAUUCAGAGCUUUUCCUCAGAAAUGGCAUCGGAU